AACAAAAUAUAAAAAAGGGUCUCAUUAUUUUAUUAUUUUGAUACAUCAUACAUGGAUCCAUUGAAACAUAUAGCUAGGUACAUCACUAGACCUGCAUAGCCAUGAUCUAGGUAGCUCUGCUUGGAGUAAGAGACAAUGAACCCAUUGAGACCCCUAGAAAGAAAGAAA
Long non-coding RNA from Populus euphratica (Euphrates poplar), 168 nucleotides. RefSeq lists it as uncharacterized. Lineage: Eukaryota; Viridiplantae; Streptophyta; Magnoliopsida; Malpighiales; Salicaceae. The record is from RefSeq and is a predicted model, not a curated record. The transcript has 2 exons.